CAACCUACCUAUCAGAGGGGAAUAACCCGGCGAAAGUCGGACUAAUACCGCAUAAAACAGGGGCACCGCAUGGUGAUAUUUGUUAAAGAGAUUCGCUGAUAGAUGGGCAUGCGUUCCAUUANGUAGUUGGUGAGGUAACGGCUCACCAAGCCGACGAUGGAUAGGGGAACUGAGAGGUUGGUCCCCCACACUGGUACUGAGACACGGACCAGACUCCUACGGGAGGCAGCAGUGAGGAAUAUUGGUCAAUGGGCGAGAGCCUGAACCAGCCAAGUCGCGUGAAGGAAGAAGGAUCUAUGGUUCGUAAACUUCUUUUGCAGGGGAAUAAAGUGCAGGACGUGUCCUGUUUUGUAUGUACCCUGAGAAUAAGGAUCGGCUAACUCCGUGCCAGCAGCCGCGGUAAUACGGAGGAUCCGAGCGUUAUCCGGAUUUAUUGGGUUUAAAGGGUGCGUAGGUGGUUUGAUAAGUCAGCGGUGAAAGUUUGCAGCUUAACUGUAAAAAUGCCGUUGAAACUGUCGGACUUGAGUGUAAAUGAGGUAGGCGGAAUGCGUGGUGUAGCGGUGAAAUGCAUAGAUAUCACGAAGAACUCCGAUUG
Molecule: ribosomal RNA, 595 nt
Filed under: uncultured Bacteroidota bacterium
Lineage: Bacteria; Pseudomonadati; Bacteroidota
Description: bacterial SSU rRNA
Rfam family: Bacterial small subunit ribosomal RNA
Source: RNAcentral